Molecule: long non-coding RNA, 2742 nt
Organism: Camelus dromedarius (Arabian camel)
Lineage: Eukaryota; Metazoa; Chordata; Mammalia; Artiodactyla; Camelidae
Exons: 2
Source: RefSeq, a predicted model, not a curated record
CUGUGCCCGCCUCUAAGUCGGAGGUUCUUCAACUUCAGCGCGCGUCAGCGUCCCUUGGAGAGGCUGUGCUCACUCAGUGCUGGGCCCCACCCCGGAGUUUCGGACUCAGUAGGUCUGGGGUGCGGCCCGAAGUAUUUGUAGCAAGGGCCUGCUGAUGCUGGAUCUACCGCCUGGGGUCUUUCGGGCCCUCCCCAGGCCAGUGAGGAACGCCGUAAUUGCAUCUCAACUUGCGGACUUGUAAGGAGGCACCAGACACACCUGGCCUGUCUUCCUCUUGGAACAACUCCAAGAUUUGGGGGAAGGAGACACUUUACAGGCGGAGACGGGCCCAGGGAGCAGGUCCUGUGGUGGCGUGGGCCCAGCGCUGUUCCACUCUCUUCUCUUUGAUGGAAUCGUUAGAAGUCCCCACCCCGGUGGCACGCGAAAUAUGUUGGAGGAGACCAAGAUUAACCAGAGAGCCGUACAAGACAGUCAGCUCCUGAGGCAGGUGCCAAGAAGGCAGCUCCAGCCUGGUCGAGGAGGCCGGGAAAGCCUCUGGGAAGGAGUGGGAGUUAACUGUGGGGCUGCCGGGAGGAACGUUUCCGCCACACAGAGGUCUUGGGGAGGUGGAGGGGUGUGCAAGUGUGGGGAGCACGUGGCACCUCCUUCCAUGAUCCCUAAGGCAGCCUCUGACUAUUGUAGUUGGCCUGGGGCUAGCCGGGCCAGCACACGGGUUCCCUUCUCCCUUUGUCACUGGUGUCCCACGCCUCCCCCCUAGCAGCCUCCGUCUCAGAGCAGGCCAACCCCACUCUCCUCCAGCACAGCUUCCAUCCAAUGGAGGAGGAACCCCCUCCCUGCCCAGGGAGUUCAGGACCGAGCAAGUGACCCAGCCAGUGAGGUGACACGGGGAGCUCCCUUUUUCCCAUGAGAAGAUGCCGCGUUACUGUAGCGCCCAAGACAGUCACAGCCACCUUGCUGUGUCAGAGGUGACGCGAUUCCUGAGCGUGGGAGAUGGAGGGCCCUCAAGGUGACAUGGGCUCGAGCAGCUGAGGUGAUGUUUCUCAGUGUGAAGUCUACUGCCCUUUGGAGCAGGAUAACUCCCUGUUGUGACCGCCUGCAGCAAACAUUUCUAAGAUCUUUAACGUCUGAGAGCCCUCCCCUCAAGAUGCUGCUAGCAGCCCCAGGAAUCCUGACGACUGAGGACCCCCUACCCCCGUUUGCAAACAUCCCAGCUAAGGGGGUGGUAGGAGAACCAUGGAGCUCAGUCUUUGGACCUCCUACCAAGAGGGCUGAAAAAAAUAAAUACAGCUUUCUGGUUCAGUCAGCACGAUUGAGCUUUCUGCUGCUUGCAGACCGGUUUCCUAACAGGAAGGCAACAUUACGAUAAUUCUGAAAGGAGGAAUCAGCUGAGCCUCCCAGAGGGAUGAGUCCAGGGCUCCCCAAGAGGAGGUGGGCAAGCGGUCCCGUUCAGGGGGAGCUCCCGCGCCUCCUCCCCGCCUGCUCUCCCUCCGGUCACACGGAGGCGACUCUGAACUUCACUGUUUGGAGUUUUCUCCUUCCCACCAACUUCCCCCAUAAAAACAAACCUAGUUGGUUUGUUCCGUGGGGGGAAAAAUGAACAAACAAAAAACAAAGGACAGGAUACGUAUGUGGAAGAAACCCUUGAUAUGCAAAACCCUUGAUAUGCACAAAACACGUUUCUGGUUUUCUAUGCGUGGGGUAUUUCUGGAAAGGUCCUGUUGACAGAGGAGUGCCUCUGGGGAGCCGAGCUGCGGGGCUGCGGGUGAGAGGUGGGCGGGAAACUUCCUUCUCCCGCGAGAGCCCUUCGUGCUGUUUGAAUUCUUCGUCUUGUGCACAGUCCUGACGGAGGACUCUUGCCCUGCUUCGGCACCAGCUUUAUCCGUCUGCCAGGUCUGGUCCAGACUCCACCCUGACAUCAUCUGACUCCCACCACUUCUGCACCCUCCUCUCUCUCUGCUCCCCUUCAGAUGUCACUUUCUGCCCAGCUCCCCUCCAAGCCCCCUGGGCUGGCGUGAGUGAAGCAGCAGGGCCCCGAACCUACCUGAGAAACGGCCAUGUCACCUGUUCCACCGUUGGGACUCCCCACGAUUUUGUUUGAACAAAGAAAUCCACAGCAAAUCAGCAUCGCCAUCGUCCUCCUCCCCAUCGUGUAAACCAGUGCUCAGGAGAGCCCUCCUCCAAACUCUCCCCUUAAAAGUACUUGUGCCCCCCCCUUCAUUGCCUGGAGUGACCCCACCUCCACUUGCUGAAAUUACCUGGUCUUUAAGGCAAUUUCCAAAUUUUACCUCCUUUGUGACCUGGGACCACCCAGUUAGUAAUGAUGACUUUUGCUCAGAGGCAGAUUUAUGGUGAAACUGAAAUGUUGUUCCUGGACCCCUUCUGAUGUGUUCACAUAGUCAUGUGAUAAAAAUAAAAUUCCUAUUUUAUGGCAAGACAAAAUUUAAACAAAAAUUUUCUCUGCUUAUUUGGGGCCUCCUCCCUCCCCUUUAGAGGGUGUCAUGCAUCUGCAUUGACCCAACUUCCUUAGGAGGGCACCUUUCUUCUUAAUCUUGUAGAGUCAGGGCGACACACUACAAAUCUGGGUUGUAUGAACUGUCAAUAACACGUCAUUUGACAUAAUAACUCUCUGUCUCAAAAACUCACAUAAUCCUGCUUUGACAGUUGUCAGAGCUUUCUGAAAGACUGUCUCCCAGGUUAUAGUCCUCAGGUUGGCCUUGAAUAAAGUUUUCCAUUUCUUUAUUA